GCUCCAUAAUCUGGACAAGAUGAAUCUAUUGACUUCAAUGCCAACAGGUUGAUCUGGGUAAAAUAAAUCAAGAGAAAAAUAGCAAAGGGAAAA
Perca fluviatilis (European perch) is the source of this 93-nucleotide long non-coding RNA. RefSeq lists it as uncharacterized. NCBI's taxonomy places the organism in Eukaryota, Metazoa, Chordata, Actinopteri, Perciformes, Percidae. The record is from RefSeq and is a predicted model, not a curated record. The transcript is spliced from 2 exons.